CUAAGGAUAUGGUACUUUGAUACCAACGGAAUACACAAUCGUUAAAACUUUGUUUAGUUUUGAGGGGUCUACCCUCAAACUCGUACCUUGAAAACCGGAUAUUAAGAAUUAAUGAAUUAAAGAAACACCGAAAACUGCGCGGCAACUUUUUAGUUGCCAGCUGUAACUUAUGUUAUGGCAAAUGAUUUAAAUUGCUUUUGUAAUUUAUUAGGUUAAGUUAUAAAGGGCGC
RNAcentral lists this unclassified non-coding RNA (230 nucleotides) under Companilactobacillus alimentarius. RNAcentral's name for it is "Lactobacillus alimentarius 16S-23S ribosomal RNA small intergenic spacer". The record is from RNAcentral. Lineage: Bacteria; Bacillati; Bacillota; Bacilli; Lactobacillales; Lactobacillaceae.